This 1238-nucleotide ribosomal RNA is filed under the name Ditylenchus environmental sample. Its description in RNAcentral is "SSU rRNA". It matches the Rfam family "Eukaryotic small subunit ribosomal RNA", at positions 194 to 1469 of the family's 1831-position model. Lineage: Eukaryota; Metazoa; Nematoda; Chromadorea; Rhabditida; Anguinidae. The record is from RNAcentral.
GGAAAGGGUGCAUUUAUUAGAACAAAACCAAGCCGCUUGCGGUUUUUUGUUGACUCAGAAUAACUCAGCUGAUCGCAUGGUCUUGUACCGGCGACGUGUCUUUCGAGUAUCUGCCUUAUCAACUUUCGAUGGUAGUGUAUCUGACUACCAUGGUGGUGACGGGUAACGGAGGAUAAGGGUUCGACUCCGGAGAAGGCGCCUGAGAAAUGGCGACUACGUCUAAGGAUGGCAGCAGGCGCGCAAAUUACCCACUCUCAGAAUGAGGAGGUAGUGACGAGAAAUAACGAGACCGUUCUCUAUGAGGCCGGUCAUCGGAAUGGGUACAAUCUAAACCCUUUAACGAGUAUCUAUGAGAGGGCAAGUCUGGUGCCAGCAGCCGCGGUAAUUCCAGCUCUCAAAAUGCAUAGAAUUAUUGCUGCGGUUAAAAAGCUCGUAGUUGGAUCUGUGCUAGAGACUUGGUCCACCUUCGGGUGCGUACUGAGCUCUCUUGCUUUUCUGCCGGUUUUCCCAGCAUGGCUUUAAUCGGCUGUGUUGGGUGGCUGGUGAUUUUACUUUGAACAAAUCAGAGUGCUUCAAACAGGCGUUUCGCUUGUAUGUUUUUGCAUGGAAUAAUAGAAGAGGAUUUCGGUUCUAUUUUAUUGGUUUUAUAGACCGAAAUAAUGGUUAACAGAGACGAACGGGGGCAUUAGUACUUUUGCGCUAGAGGUGAAAUUCUUGGACCGCAGAAAGACUAACUACAGCGAAAGCAUUUGCCAAGAACGUCUUCAUUAAUCAAGAACGAAAGUCAGAGGUUCGAAGGCGAUCAGAUACCGCCCUAGUUCUGACCGUAAACGAUGCCAACUAGCGAUCUGCCGGUGGAAUAUUCGCCCUGGUAGGGAGCUUCCCGGAAACGAAAGUCUUCCGGUUCCGGGGGAAGUAUGGUUGCAAAGCUGAAACUUAAAGGAAUUGACGGAAGGGCACCACCAGGAGUGGAGCCUGCGGCUUAAUUUGACUCAACACGGGAAAACUCACCCGGCCCGGACACUGUAAGGAUUGACAGAUUGAUAGCUUUUUCAUGAUUCGGUGGAUGGUGGUGCAUGGCCGUUCUUAGUUCGUGGAGCGAUUUGUCUGGUUUAUUCCGAUAACGAGCGAGACUCUAGCCUGCUAAAUAGUCCACACAUUGCUAUUGUGUGUGGUACUUCUUAGAGGGAUUAUCGGUGUAUAGCCGCAUGAAAUUGAGCAAUAACAGGUCUGUGAUG